Long non-coding RNA from Oncorhynchus tshawytscha (Chinook salmon), 356 nucleotides. NCBI's taxonomy places the organism in Eukaryota, Metazoa, Chordata, Actinopteri, Salmoniformes, Salmonidae. The record is from Ensembl.
CUAACCUAGUCCAGCCCCUGGCUUGUCUCUCCUGGGCCCUCUCUGUGUGGGCCCUAAACCAGCCUGGUCCUGCCCCUCUCUGUGUGGGCCCUAAACACGAGGAAGGUUACCCCCCAGCACAAUAUGAGGCAGGUUACCCCCAGGACAAUAUGAGGCAGGUUACCCCCCAGGACAAUAUGAGGCAGGUUACCCCCAGGACAAUAUGAGGCAGGUUACCCCCCAGGACAAUAUGAAGCAGGUUACCCCCCAGGACAAUAUGAGGCAGGUUAACCUCCAGGACCAGGACAAUAUGAGGCAGGUUAACCUCCAGGACAAUGUGAGGCAGGUUACCCUCCAGGACCAGGACAAUAUGAGGC